UACAGAGGGUGCAAGCGUUGUUCGGAAUUAUUGGGCGUAAAGGGAGUGUAGGCGGUUUGCUAAGUCUUCUGUGAAAUCUACGGGCUCAGCCUGUAACGUGCAGAGGAAACUGACAGACUUGAGUGUCGGAGAGGAUAGUGGAAUUCCCGGUGUAGAGGUGAAAUUCGUAGAGAUCGGGAGGAACACCAGUGGCGAAGGCGACUAUCUGGGCUGACAACUGACGCUGAGACUCGAAAGCAUGGGGAGCAAACAGG
RNAcentral lists this ribosomal RNA (254 nucleotides) under uncultured bacterium. Its description in RNAcentral is "partial 16S ribosomal RNA". It matches the Rfam family "Bacterial small subunit ribosomal RNA", at positions 524 to 776 of the family's 1533-position model. The record is from RNAcentral.